This 549-nucleotide ribosomal RNA is filed under the name uncultured bacterium. RNAcentral's name for it is "bacterial SSU rRNA". It matches the Rfam family "Bacterial small subunit ribosomal RNA", at positions 356 to 896 of the family's 1533-position model. The record is from RNAcentral.
AGGGAAUCUUCCGCAAUGGGCGGAAGCCUGACGGAGCAACGCCGCGUGAGUGAUGAAGGUCUUCGGAUCGUAAAACUCUGUUAUUAGGGAAGAACAAACGUGUAAGUAACUGUGCACGUCUUGACGGUACCUAAUCAGAAAGCCACGGCUAACUACGUGCCAGCAGCCGCGGUAAUACGUAGGUGGCAAGCGUUAUCCGGAAUUAUUGGGCGUAAAGCGCGCGUAGGCGGUUUUUUAAGUCUGAUGUGAAAGCCCACGGCUCAACCGUGGAGGGUCAUUGGAAACUGGAAAACUUGAGUGCAGAAGAGGAAAGUGGAAUUCCAUGUGUAGCGGUGAAAUGCGCAGAGAUAUGGAGGAACACCAGUGGCGAAGGCGACUUUCUGGUCUGUAACUGACGCUGAUGUGCGAAAGCGUGGGGAUCAAACAGGAUUAGAUACCCUGGUAGUCCACGCCGUAAACGAUGAGUGCUAAGUGUUAGGGGGUUUCCGCCCCUUAGUGCUGCAGCUAACGCAUUAAGCACUCCGCCUGGGGAGUACGACCGCAAGGUUG